AUAUGCAAAUCUGUUUCAGAAAAAUGUAGGUUUUAAAAUGGUUCGUGCUCUUCCAAGAGUUAUUUCUCCACCUAGUGCAUCCAACCUUGCUCCUAUUUUGUUGAACCCUGACACUUCUCAGGGCGUAACUGACUCACCUAGUCCUGUUUCAUACAACACUAUUAAUUCCCAAGAUACAACCAUCUCAUACUGUCCUGUUCCAGGUAAAUCAUCCUCUCCGACAUAUGAUGCCCAAGGGUGUCAAUCGUCCGACGAUCCUGAAGGAUCUUCCAGCAUUAAUGAAUACUCAGAUGAAUCUACCCUUAAUAUUGAACAGAUCCUCAACCUCACGGAGAAAUCUCUCGAUAUUGAAUCUCAGAAUAUCUUAAUUGUUACAGAGUCGCUUGAAGAAAAAAAUCGGGCUUCAGCGCCAGAUGAGAAGGAUGUUGAAGGUUCAGAGGAUGAGAAAUGGCAUGAUGAGGGUUUAGUGGGGGAAACUAAUCUAGGUGUACUACCAGACUUUAACUCUCUUCUUCAAUUAAAUCCAUCAACAACUUCUUCAUCUUCUUCGAAUUCGUCUGUUUAUUCCCCGCUUAUUCUUGAACAGUUUUCCUCUCCUAGCCUGGGUUCAGCUUCAUCCUAUAAAUUACCACUAACCCUUGGUUAUAUUCAACCAAGAGAGUUUAAGAAGAAAGCUAAGUCUUUUCCAGAAUACAGUGAUCUUCAGUCUUCCAGUUCCUUUACAGGUUUUCUCAGAUCUAAGGUUUUAAUGCAGAACACAAUAAAUCUUCCAAUCUGUGAUCUACAAUUACUAAUAAGAGAAUUAGCUGCGGAUAAUGAAAGGUUAAAGAUGGCUGUGCAUCAAACAAACAUUUAUCUUCUGAAAGAAAAGGCUGUUAUCUCGUAUUGGAUUGGAAAGCUAAAUGUUUCUCCUCUAGAGGGUGAGAAGACAAAGGAUUCUAAGAGUGGAGCUGAUUCUAAUAUAUCCGUCCAGAACCUUUCAAGUCAGCUCGAUGUAGCAGAGGAGGCUCAGGUUCAACUUUCACAGGAUCUACAGCGAGUAACAGCUGAGAAACUAGAACUUGUAAACCAUGUCUCCAGUCUCCAGCUUCAGCUGGAGCAUAGUAGACUGGAGAAACAGCAUGGAUUGGAAGAACUUGAUCGCCUCCAGCAAGAGAAAUGGGAACUGUCAGCUGUCAACACUGAUCUUCAACAGCGUCUUCAACAGACAGUUGCUCUUGCACAUAUGCAGGCAGAAGGGAAGGAUACGCGACUACAGGAGGAGUUGGGAACUUUACUAGUCCAGCUAGAAGAGGAAAGACAAGUGACCGCCAGGCUAAGUAAAAGCCUGGAACUUGAACGAAGGAAGGUUGAAAGUCUAGAGCAAAAAUCAAAGGGUUCCUCCGGGAAGAAGGACGGAGCUAGGAGAAGAUCAUCCCUUCUCCCUGAGGAAAUAAGAGAUAGUGAGACGCGACUUGUUGCAAGCAUGGAGCUUUACAGACAGCGCUGUGAUAAUCUUGGCGUAAGCCUUGCGGGUUGUCAGCAACAGCUUGAUCGAGACAGCUGGCAACCUGAUCUAGCAACAGAGAUAAAUAAGCUGCGGAAGCUGCUAAGUGAGGAGAAAAGAAGCUGCUAUGGAGAAGGUGCACGGUUAAAUGAAGUUCAUCAGCUCUUUGAACAGGUUUACCAUGAUUAUACAAGUGUACUGGAGACCAUGAAACAAUCCCAGCAGGAAAUAAAGAAAAUAAAGGGUCAAUCUGUUCUCGAGAAUAUCAAGGAAUCUAAUAUCAGGGAUAACAUGGAUAGUCUUACCGCCAGGUUGAUGGAUACAGAGGAAAGUCUUAUUAGAGAGAAGGAAACUUGUAGAACCCUUCAGGUACUUGUAGAACCCUUCAGGAAAGAUUGGCUCAAGCUGAGUUGGAGGUUGAGUCUUUGCCUUUACUUCGUGCCCAGGUUGAGGUAUACCAGAGUGAUUUUAACGCUGAGCGUGAAGCGCGUGAGCGUAUAGCUGGUGAGAAAGCAGAUUUAUUGGAUCAAAUUAACAAGAUGAGACAACAAACAGAUGCAGGAGGAUUAGAACCUAUCCCAGUACAACAGAGAACAAAUGUUUCACAACUUGGUAUAAGGACAGAA
RNAcentral lists this unclassified non-coding RNA (2112 nucleotides) under Eurytemora carolleeae. RNAcentral's name for it is "optineurin". Lineage: Eukaryota; Metazoa; Arthropoda; Copepoda; Calanoida; Temoridae. The record is from RNAcentral.